Molecule: ribosomal RNA, 520 nt
Filed under: uncultured Glomus
Lineage: Eukaryota; Fungi; Glomeromycota; Glomeromycetes; Glomerales; Glomeraceae
Description: SSU rRNA
Rfam family: Eukaryotic small subunit ribosomal RNA
Source: RNAcentral
AGCAGCCGCGGUAAUUCCAGCUCCAAUAGCGUAUAUUAAAGUUGUUGCAGUUAAAAAGCUCGUAGUUGAAUUUCGGGGUUGGUAGGCUGGUCGUGCCACAGGUACGUACUGGUCUCACUGAUUCCUCCUUCCUGAUGAACUGUAAUGCCAUUAAUUUGGUGUUGCAGGGAAACUGGACUGUUACUUUGAAAAAAUUUAGAGUGUUUAAAGCAAGCUAACGCUUGAAUACAUUAGCAUGGAAUAAUGAAAUAGGACGUUCGAUCCUAUUUUGUUGGUUUCUAGGAUUGACGUAAUGAUUAAUAGGGAUAGUUGGGGGGCAUUAGUAUUCAAUUGUCAGAGGUGAAAUUCUUGGAUUUAUUGAAGACUAACUACUGCGAAAGCAUUUGCCAAGGAUGUUUUCAUUAAUCAAGAACGAAAGUUAGGGGAUCGAAGACGAUCAGAUACCGUCGUAGUCUUAACCAUAAACUAUGCCGACUAGGAAUCAGACGAUGUUAAUCUUUUAAUGACUCGUUUGGCACCU